CACGAAAAGAGGGUCUUCUGUGUAAAUACUUAAAAAACUCAAAAACUGGUUUUGGAUAAUGCAUAAACUAAACGAGAGGUGGUUACUCUGUUUUCAACAAAAACAUGAUGAACACACUUCAAUCUUUUCGGACAUCUUUAACACCAAAUGUUCUGUCCAAUGCCUCAAGACGUUCAAUUUCCAGAACCCAGUUUCUCUGUCUCUCCAAGUCCGGAGAUGGAACGGGUUCAGAUUCUGGUCCCGAUCAUCCAAAGCCCGAAGGAGAUACUCGGAGACAAGAGCUCUUAGCCAGGAUCGCCAUGCUUCAGACAUCGAAAGUCCGUUUAACUAAUUUCCUGGACGAACGGUCAGAUUACCUCACCAAGUUUGCUGAAGAAGCCAACGCUGAGUUUGACAAGGUUGGUGAAGACGCCAUGAAGGACCUCGACGAAGCAAGCUCAAGGAUACUAGAGAAUAUUGAGAGCAAGAUGCAAGCGUUCGAGGAAUCUGCGGGAUUGAACAGGUUGGAGAUAGAGGAGAGCGAUAACAAGUUGGCCGAGUUCGAGGAGAAGAUCGUCGAAGGCAGGAACGAAGGACUGUUCUUCAAGAGCUUUCGCGGUAAAAAGCCUGUUGAUGUGGAGAAAGCCAAAGAGGAGACAGAGAGAAUACAAGAGGUGACCAAAGUAAGCGCAGGAUCAAAGUCAAGAAGGAACGUUUACCUCGGUUUGAUUGGGAUCUUGGUUCUAGCAAUUGCUGAUUCGUUUGUUUCUUCGCCGGACUGGAGAAAAGUCUCGGUUCUUGGUGUUAUACUUGUUGCACUGCUCACUCAGUUCGUCUACGAGCAGACAUUGUUAUCAGAAGAAGCAGAUAAUGGUAAAGGAAAAGAGAAGAAGUGAAUGAGAAAUAUGAAGUAAAACUCAAAGUUAGCAAAUAUAGGAAGCGCAAACAAACCCAUUAUUAUUGAAUUUCAUCAUCGUGGCAACUACUUCAUUAAGUUUCUGAGACAUUCCUGGGAUCAUCAAAGCUGCUUCGUCAAACAACUGGGCUCUGAGUUCACCUGAGAUUCGAUCUCUGGGAGAAGCUGUAGAUAAUUCCGACACUGACUGG
Molecule: RNA transcript, 1086 nt
Organism: Raphanus sativus (radish)
Lineage: Eukaryota; Viridiplantae; Streptophyta; Magnoliopsida; Brassicales; Brassicaceae
Exons: 3
Source: RefSeq, a predicted model, not a curated record